RNAcentral lists this long non-coding RNA (1154 nucleotides) under Corvus moneduloides (New Caledonian crow). RNAcentral's name for it is "lncRNA (ENSCMUG00000018115.1)". Lineage: Eukaryota; Metazoa; Chordata; Aves; Passeriformes; Corvidae. The record is from RNAcentral.
AAGCAGUUUGGGCGCUUGUGUCCCUCCUAUUCACACUUUUAUACUACUAGUGGUUUAAAGUUAAUUGAAUUUUGCCUUGACAACCCUUGAAAUAUUUCACAUGAAAGUCAUAGAUCCUUAAAUAGAAUGCUUCAGUCUGUCAGACAGAGGCUUUUUCUUACUCUUCUUGAUUUUUAAUUACAUGCAUGAAAAUCAGAUAUUGUGGUUUAACUUUGAUCUAGAAUUUAGACAACUAGUGUACUUGCACUGUUGCUGGAAAAACAUAUGCUUCAAUCCCAUCUAACCCUCUCAGUAUGACUAUCAGUAUGUGAAAUAGCUUAGAUUUUGAUUCUUCUCAUUUCCUCAGACACCACACCUACAAUAAGAAUCUUGGAAUAGAAAUUCUUCAACUCACCUCUGAGAUGACCUUUUACAGAAAAAAACCAGCAUACUGUGCCAGCAAUUGCAUUCAAAACUUCAUGAAAGCAACACUACUUCAUGGGAAAGCAAGGUUCCAUUUGAGGGAUUUGUAUACUGUUAAGGAAUCAUUACUUCAUUGAAUGAAGAUUAAGAUCUUCUUAAACAUGUAAAGAAUGGGGAACCAACUUUUUUCACAACUCCACAUUCUUCCAGAAGUAGCUGAGGAGUCUUGUUCGCUUUGCAUGACAACAGCAGACACCAAGUAUGGAAGAAACUCACUACCUGUAGGAACCAAGGAAAGAAUUUUUGAGGAAUAGUUGCCUUGAAGCUGAAGAAAGCAUUGUAGCAUCAUAACCAUCUAGCCCAUACAUGAAUGAACUCAUGCUCUUCCUGUUUUCACCCACUGACUCAACAGCUUCAGUAAUAAAACUGAAUGAAGAACUUGACAGGACUGAAAGGUUGUUAGAGCAUGUUAGCAACUGUAAUAUCAGAAAGCUCUCAGUACUGCUUUGGUCAAGGAAGCAAUGUAAAAAAUGGAAAUGCAAGGAUUGCAACCAAGACAUGGAAUUGAGUAAGGGUUUUCCCUAAAUGACUUUAGAAACCAACUUCUGAAAGAUAUCCCAUGGCUAUUCCAGGAAUUGCAAUUUCUCUUCUUUCUUGGAUCCCACUGUGAGACUCUGGGGAAAGACUUUGGGGAACAACCCUCCUUCUCAUGUCAAUUGUGCCUCACUUCUACCACUGAAACUACAAUUCAC